ACUCCUUCUCAGGAGAUUCUCAUGCUGUUUCUCGGCUGCUUCCAGCCUCAGCUUAAGACAGUCCUCCCUCCCCCAGCUCUGAACCAGGACUGAUGCUGCAUGCACACUGGCCACUUGUAGGGGCGAGGGCUCCUGCACCUCGUUCUUCCCCUCCCACCCUUCUCCAUUUCUCUGCCAGCAUUGGGAAUUUGGACCUGAAGAGUCAGUGGCGGUAAAGUAGGAGAUGUGAACCCAAAUCCCCCUCCUCUCUACCUUCUGCAGGUGCAGCGCAGAACAUUCCAAAGCUGUGGGCUCCCUACACCCGCCAAAGUGAGAGGACAUAUGGAGCUUCUCCUUGUGUUUCCAUUCAUUCUCCCUUCUCUCUGCACUCAGAAGGAAAUGGUGGUAAUUCCCAAGUGCAAUCGAGGACAUCUUCGUGAGGCCAGCAAACACCUGCAGGGACCAGCCUUGUAGACCACAGUCCGGAACCCAGGCCAUGACAAUACAUGUGAUUCAUCUACACAGGCACCAGCUUGGGAGAAAGAGGAAGAAAGGCAACUCUUUGAGAACAGCAGAACUGAAGAUCUAGCCAAACGUCUACGCAAGAUUUAGGGAAUGGACACUUAAGAUGUUUAGAUAAGUUAUUGAAAUAAAGAAGCUAUCAUUUUUGGCA
This 652-nucleotide long non-coding RNA is filed under the name Vulpes vulpes (red fox). RNAcentral's name for it is "lncRNA (ENSVVUG00000015331.1)". Lineage: Eukaryota; Metazoa; Chordata; Mammalia; Carnivora; Canidae. The record is from RNAcentral.